Molecule: non-coding RNA, 537 nt
Organism: Cinara cedri
Lineage: Eukaryota; Metazoa; Arthropoda; Insecta; Hemiptera; Aphididae
Source: the annotation of a GenBank genome assembly
UAGGUACACUACAGUAUUUACAAACAAAACUUAAGCUAUNAGUAUUUACAAACUAAACUUAAGCUAUUUAUUAUUUUUCUCUGGACCAUACAUUAUAUAACAAUUAAAGUUUCUUAGAAGUAAUCUUAAAUCUUUGGUCAUACUCAAAAAAAGAUGAAGAUUACUUCUUUUAAUCAAACUCUCAGUCUUUUCUUGAGUACGUCCAACUAUUUAAUAGUUCAAUCCUUCUAUGCCAAAGAGUAAUUCGNUUCUGAAACAUACCUUAUAACAUUUAAGGUUUCCUUGAAGUAUUCUUAAAUCUUUGGUCAUACUCAAAAAAAGAUGAAGAUUACUUCUUUUAAUCAAACUCUCCAUCUUUUCUUGAGUAUGUCCAACCAUUUAACGGGCCAAUCUUUCUACCCUGAAGAGAAAAUAUUACAAAAUUUAUAAAUAAUAUUUAAACUAAUUUACAGAAAAAUUUCGAGUAUAAAUUCACCAUAUUUACCUUAUGAUAUAAAUUAUGGUAAUUAAACAACUAGAUGUUAGUAUCAUUUAAUA